AGAGUGAGAAGAAAGGUUCUCACGGGUGCCUCCACAUAUCGCUUGAGGCCCUACUCAGUGUUGCCUGCUGGGGCCAGUUCCCUUCAGACGGAAGCCUUUCUCACAGCGCCAGACGCUGGCCGGACCGUGAGCUAGACGACGCCUGUCGUCAGCUCCCCCAGCCUUCCCGACCCUGCCUUCUUCCUCCCUCCCUGCCCUUUCUUUCCCUCCCUGUGUGGAGGGGGGGGGGUCCUCACAGUCUUCUAGGAAUCUGCUUAGGCAGCCACACACAGUCGAUCAGGGCUCCCUGAAUUGAAUUGAUCUUAAAAGGUAUUCACAUUAAGCCAUAAAUGACUAAUCUGGGGGGGCGCCUGGGAGCAUGUGCAUUUAUGAGGCCUCAAAGCCUUAAGCAGAAAGGGCUUCAGCCAGCUCAGGAGAAAAGCGCUUGCUUAGUGGGCUGGAGUGUUCCUGGCACUUCUGAAUUCCAUAUUCUGGACAGUUGCCUACUCUACCUGCACUUAAAGCUGGCCCUGGUUCCAAACAUCCAGUCCUACAUGCUUCCCCUCCUGGCUCUAUAUUGUGCUGCGCGAUAAGGCGGCGGGUGCGGGGUGGGGGGCUGACAGCUGCUAAUCUGAGACCUUCUGGCUGGAAAGCCUGUUAAGACUGCGGACACAACCACAGUGAAGCAUUUGAGACACAAGUGAUGAAAACCAAAGACCCUGUGAAACUGAUGAGCAUCUGUACCAGAAGGCAGAAUCAUAGAAAAGCUCUAAUGUGACUCAGCAUGGCAUUUGAGUUAAUAUCCAGAAAUAAAGCAGAAUGAGUGUGUGUGUGUGUGUGUGCGUGCACGCACGGGCACGCAUGCAUGCAUGUGACAGAGACAGACUGAUGAAUGGCAAAGCCGGAAGCAAUCUUAAUCCCAAAAGUCAACUUCACAGGUAGACCUGACAGUCACCUACUGAGGAAAUGCUCAGCUUCUAUGGUGUCACCCAGGACAUAAAAGAGAUGCCACUCAGCCUGUAUGCUCUGAAGCGUCAGAAUAUUUGGAAAUGGGAACCUCCAGGACCGUUUCAGAGAUGCUUCAUAUGUCCAUUUCUGACUGGUUUGCAGCACUUCUUACCAUAGCAUAUCUGGAAAGAGGCUACUGUUACUGGCAAGGAAUCCAGCCUUCCCAAUCUGUGCUGGGGACACGGGACUUCAGGGUCAUGGCAGAAGACAAAGGAGAGGACAUCCGUGUAAGACCGCUCCUUCCAUCAUAGGUGUCUUAGGUGUUCUUUGGCUUGGAGGAAGCCGGCAGCCAUGCUGUAAACUGCUCUCAGGGAGAAGCCCACGCACCAAAGAACUGAAGUCUCCAGCCGAUGAGAAGACUCUGCCAACAACCAGAUGAGUUGUCUAUCCACUUUGAGCCUCAAGAUGACUGCACCCCCUCUACCCUCUUCUUGUAGUCUGUGAAGGAUCCCCGGACUCUGAGGCAUCCAGCUGAGAUGCUCUGGAUUCCAACCCAAGGAAACUGUAAGAUAACAAACAUUUGCUGUUUUUAAGAAGCAAAAUUUUAGAGUAACUUGUUAGGCAGCACUAUUAAAAAUGCAGAGUUCUGCUUCACAGAUCACCCUUCAGCAAUGUUUCUCUUCUGUGACCUUGAGCAAACCACUGCUAUUCUCUGGGUCUAUGAGAUGGGGUUAGAGUCCAGUGCCCCAAGUCCCUCAUCCAGGAGGUAGUGGUCAAUGAUGUUUACGAGGUCUAUCUGUUCUACUGUUCAGCUUAGGAAGAAGCCCCGGUUAAACCUGCACAUCUUUGUAUAUUAAGAUCCACAUCUUUAUAUUUGCCUCACAUUUUUCACUCCUAUCAUCUGAAGUCUGUUUCUAAUUUCUGACAGAAUUGCAGUGACCUAUUGUAUGCUGCACUCUGCAUGACAUGCCAAUUUCAUUUUGGAGUCACGGCUAUUGUCUUUUCCCGUUAAUCUCUCUUGUUUUGCAAAAUUCCAAUAGAAAGUGUGAACAUAGAGAGUUGCCCUUGUGCCUGAUCUUGGCGCUGUGUGGCCCCCAAACGGGUGGAUGAUAGACAGACAGACAGCCUGUCUGCCACCCGAGGCAUCUUUUCUUGCUUAAAAAUUUGCUUUCCAGAUUGCAGACUCCCUUCCAGCUCGAGCGAAGACUGGAACGUAUUAAAUAAAAGCAGGCCUCAAAUUGGA
Molecule: long non-coding RNA, 2170 nt
Organism: Hyaena hyaena (striped hyena)
Lineage: Eukaryota; Metazoa; Chordata; Mammalia; Carnivora; Hyaenidae
Exons: 7
Source: RefSeq, a predicted model, not a curated record